AGGAUCGCGCAUUAGCGGACGCUGGCUACGGGUGGCCGGGCGGGAUGUAACCGGCUGCUGAGCUGGCAGUUCUGUGUCCCCAGGCUUCGGCCCGGCCGCCGCCGCACAUAAACUGCGAGGAGGAGCUUUACGACUUCUCGGUCUUCGGGGCCGGGCGCAGCAAGGGCCAGACUCUGCGCUAGCAGGCGCUGCGCGCCAACCGGCCGGCCCCUGUCGCAGAAGGUGCAACCGAUCGCACUGUCGCGCAGAAGCUCCUCAAUGGCCAGCGCCAGCUGCAGCCCCGGCUGCCCACUCGCCUCACCUGAGCCUGGGUGGAACAAUCCAAAGUUUUAAUCAAAGAAGGUGGUAUUCAGUUGCUGCUUACAAUAGUUGAUACCCCAGGAUUUGGAGAUGCAGUGGAUAAUAGUAAUUGCUGGCAGCCUGUUAUCAAUUACAUUGAUAGUAAAUUUGAGGACUACCUAAAUGCAGAAUCGCAAGUGAACAGAUGUCAGAUGCCUGGUAACAGGGUGCACUGUUGUUUAUACUUCAUUGCUCCUUCAGGACAUGGACCGUUACAUAACUGAAGACUCCCACCUUCAGGCAGGAUUGGGUAGUACAUGUUUGUAACUACCUGGCAUUGCCUUUUGUUGAGAUAAAGAAAUCCAAGAACAUAAAGUUAAAAUAUAUGAAUUUCCAGAAACAGAUGAUGAAGAAGAAAAAAAACUUGUUAAAAAGAUAAAGGACCAUUUACCUCUUGCUGUGGUGGGUAGUAAUACUAUCAUUGAAGUUAAUGGCAAAAGGGUCAUAGGAAGGCAGUAUCCUUGGAGUGUUGCUGAAGUUGAAAAUGGUGAACAUUGUGAUUUUACAGUUUUAAGAAAUAUGUUGAUAAGAACACACGCAGGACUUGAAAGAUGUUACUAAUAAUGUCCACUACGAGAACUAUGGAAUCAGAAAACUGGCAGCUGUGACUUAUCAUGGAGUUGAUAACAAGAAGAAUAAAGGGCAGCUCACUAAGAGCCCUCUGGCACAAAUGGAAGAAGAAAGAAGGGAGCAAGUAGCUAAAAUUAAGAAGAUGGAGAUGGAGAUGGAGCAGGUGUUUGAGAUGAAGGUCAAAGAAAAAGUUCAAAAACUGAAGGACUCUGAAGCUGAGGUAAUCAGUCCAAUAUUCCAUCUCUUAGCAGACAUUGUGUUCCUUUUUAAAUAGUAUCUUCAGUAAAAUUUAUAGAUAAUAUAACCUUCUUAUACAUAUUUUUUAAAAAUUAAUACCCUAGCAUAACAAAAUGGAGAAAUUUCUACAAGCAAGCACUGUUUACAAUAAAAUAAUAUAGACUUCAAUACAUAAGUGCUUGGACAUAGUGUAUUAGGUAUGACAGCAUAAUAGAGUACUUACAAUGAAUUAUUAAAGUUAUAAUGAACAAGUGUGAGUUGGGAAAAAUAAAAUUAUAAGCCAUUCCAUACAGGUGGCAUAAGAACACUAAAAAUGAGAGUUUGGGGUGGAUGU
Homo sapiens (human) is the source of this 1480-nucleotide long non-coding RNA. Lineage: Eukaryota; Metazoa; Chordata; Mammalia; Primates; Hominidae. The record is from Ensembl.